UACGUAGGCAGCGAGCGUUGUUCGGAAUUACUGGGCGUAAAGAGUGUGUAGGCGGUGUUCCCAGUCUGUUGUGAAAUCUCCCGGCUUAACUGGGAGGGUGCAGCGGAAACUAGAAUGCUAGAGGGUGGGAGAGGUAAGCGGAAUUCCUGGUGUAGCGGUGAAAUGCGCAGAUAUCAGGAGGAACACCAAUGGCGAAGGCAGCACUCUGGGACGUGACUGACGCUGAGACGCGAAAGCGUGGGGAGCAAACAGG
Molecule: ribosomal RNA, 253 nt
Filed under: uncultured bacterium
Lineage: Bacteria
Description: partial 16S ribosomal RNA
Rfam family: Bacterial small subunit ribosomal RNA
Source: RNAcentral